Molecule: ribosomal RNA, 472 nt
Filed under: uncultured Geobacter sp.
Lineage: Bacteria; Pseudomonadati; Thermodesulfobacteriota; Desulfuromonadia; Geobacterales; Geobacteraceae
Also listed under: 1 other name
Description: bacterial SSU rRNA
Rfam family: Bacterial small subunit ribosomal RNA
Source: RNAcentral
CGGAGCUUGCUCCGGUGAAAGUGGCGCACGGGUGAGUAACGCGUGGAUAAUCUGCCCUGGUAUCUGGGAUAACAUCUCGAAAGGGGUGCUAAUACCGGAUAAGCCCACGGUCUCUUCGGAGAGUGCGGGAAGAGGGGGCCUCUGUAUAUGCUCCUGUCGCUAGAUGAGUCCGCGGCCCAUUAGCUAGUUGGUAGGGUAAUGGCCUACCAAGGCUACGAUGGGUAGCUGGUCUGAGAGGAUGAUCAGCCACACUGGAACUGAGACACGGUCCAGACUCCUACGGGAGGCAGCAGUGGGAAAUUUGCGCAAUGGGSGAAAGCCUGACGCAGCAACGCCGCGUGAGUGAUGAAGGCCCUCGGGUCGUAAAGCUCUGUCAGAGGGGAAGAACCUCCCAUCGGUUAAUAUCCGGUGGGCCUGACGGUACCCUCAAAGGAAGCACCGGCUAACUCCGUGCCAGCAGCCGCGGUAAUAC